AUUCAGCUGACGAGUUCCAGAAAGGAUGAAACAUGCGUUCUGGAU
This is a non-coding RNA of Schistosoma curassoni, 45 nucleotides long. The record is from Rfam. NCBI's taxonomy places the organism in Eukaryota, Metazoa, Platyhelminthes, Trematoda, Strigeidida, Schistosomatidae.